RNAcentral lists this transfer RNA (69 nucleotides) under Kaloula borealis (Manchurian narrowmouth toad). Its description in RNAcentral is "tRNA-Ser". Lineage: Eukaryota; Metazoa; Chordata; Amphibia; Anura; Microhylidae. The record is from RNAcentral.
CGAGCCUGUCUGGGAAAGCGAGAACUGCUAAUUCCUCGUAACCAUGGUUCAAUUCCAUGGCCUGCUCGA